Molecule: ribosomal RNA, 566 nt
Filed under: uncultured Glomus
Lineage: Eukaryota; Fungi; Glomeromycota; Glomeromycetes; Glomerales; Glomeraceae
Description: partial large subunit ribosomal RNA
Rfam family: Eukaryotic large subunit ribosomal RNA
Source: RNAcentral
AAACGUUUUCUGCAUCCAGGAUUAGCCUAAAUCCUUUGGGAUAAGGUAUCAUGGAGGGUGAGAAUCCCGUUCAUGGUUAAUCUUAAGGAAGCUCUACGAUACGUUUUCCAAGAGUCGAGUUGUUUGGGAUUGCAGCUCAAAAUGGGAGGUAAAUUCCUCCUAAGGCUAAAUAUUGGCGAGAGACCGAUAGCGAACAAGUACCGUGAGGGAAAGAUGAAAAGAACUUUGAAAAGAGAGUUAAACAGUACGUGAAAUUGUUGAAAGGGAAACGAUUGAAGUCAGUCAUACCAACGGGAAAUCAACCUUUUGAGCUUGGUUUCGUGGGUUUUGAAGAGUUUCAAAGCCUUCGGAUUCGCGAGAUUGGGAUCUCUUGGUGUACUUUUUCGUACGGUUAGUCAACAUCGGUUUUGAAUGUCAUAAAAUGACUGGAGGAAUGUAGCUUCGAUCUCGUAUUGAAGUGUUAUAGCCUUUGGUAGAUGUGAUGUUUGAGACCGAGGAUUGCAACGGAUACCCUUUAGGGCUAUUCGUCUGAUCUCUGAUACGUUGCCCUGAUGUUGAAAGCUUGC